GCCCUAGUAGCUUAACUAAAGCCCCGGUUUUGUACACCGGACGAUUGUAGAUGAAAACUCUCCCUAGCGCU
Molecule: transfer RNA, 71 nt
Filed under: Stemonidium hypomelas
Lineage: Eukaryota; Metazoa; Chordata; Actinopteri; Anguilliformes; Serrivomeridae
Also listed under: 1 other name
Description: tRNA-Thr
Source: RNAcentral